RNAcentral lists this microRNA precursor (125 nucleotides) under Phlebotomus papatasi. RNAcentral's name for it is "microRNA mir-286". Lineage: Eukaryota; Metazoa; Arthropoda; Insecta; Diptera; Psychodidae. The record is from RNAcentral.
UCAACUUUAUUCAGAGCUUUCGGUUCGGUCUCCAAUUAAUGAACGAAUCUCAGAGGAUAUUUGAAAUACCUGACCACUGAUGAAGGCUUGGAGACCGAGCCGAAAGCUCUGGAAUAAGUUGAUAA